This 279-nucleotide long non-coding RNA is filed under the name Mytilus galloprovincialis (Mediterranean mussel). Lineage: Eukaryota; Metazoa; Mollusca; Bivalvia; Mytilida; Mytilidae. The record is from RNAcentral.
CUCAUCAUGGUUAACUCAUAUACAUGUACCAAAAAUCAGCCCAAUAUCUGAAGGUGUUUAGAAAAAAACUGAUGGUUUGUUGCGAAGUGAUGGAAUAACAGAAUGACAGACUAAAACUAAAUGGCACUGACAACUUUGUUGUGGAGCAAUAAAAAGAUGUGGUAUGACUGACUGCCAAUGAAACAACUCUCCACAAAAGAACAAAGGACACAUAAAUUUACAACUAUAGUUCACUGCAAAGCCCAUACUGCAUUAUAUAUAAGUCCACUAUAAAAGGCC